This is an RNA transcript of Gorilla gorilla gorilla (western lowland gorilla), 3420 nucleotides long. RefSeq lists it as uncharacterized. Lineage: Eukaryota; Metazoa; Chordata; Mammalia; Primates; Hominidae. The record is from RefSeq and is a predicted model, not a curated record. The transcript is spliced from 7 exons.
GUGACUGACUCAGACCGCCGCGACUUGGCCGCGCCUGGCACCCUCGCCACCUGGCGCACCUCGGCCCGGAGGCGUCAGACCCCGCUGGGGAAGCUGCGGGGGCGCGCCCUGGAGCCCAGAGCGACAAGGGCAUUACCCACCUUCCUGGGACGGAGAUGCCCAGGACCUUGUGUUGGCUCCUCCUGGCCAGUGGGUUUGUCUGGUCUCACUUUGUCACCCAGGCUGGAGUGUAGUGGGGCAAUCUCAGCUCAUUGCGCCUCCGCCUCUGGGUCCAAGCUAUUCUCCCACGUCAGCCUCCCAAGUAGCUGGGAUUACAGGCACGCACCAUCAGCCAAGACAUAGUCUCAUCACUCUGUCACCCAGGCUGGAAUGUAGUAGUGCAAUCUCGGCUCUCUGCAACCUUCACCUCCUGGAUUCAAGUGAUUCUCCUGCCUCAGCCUCCUGAGUAGCUGGGAUUACAGCUGCUGCAUCUGGCCCCUCAAGGGUAAAGUCAAGGGGAAAAGGAGAUUGAGAGGAAGGACAGUCUGUGAAUUGGGUCUCACCGUGUUUCCCAGAGUGAAGUACAGUGUUGUGAUAUCAGUUCAUUGCAACUUCUGUCUUCCGAGCUCAAGCAAUCCUCUUGCCUCAGCCUCUCGAGUAGCUGGGACUGACUACAGGCAUGAACCACCACACCUGGCUAAUUUUUUUGUAUUUUGGUCGAAAAGACGGUUUCGCCAUGUUGUACAGCAGCCUGACAACUUAGCCAACCAGCCAGCCUCUCCGCCAGCCUAACAUCCAUGUUCUCAGCCAGCCUCCUAGCCAGCCUCUGGAUCUGCCAGCCAUCCAGACGGACUUUCAGCCAGUGAGCCAUCCUCUCAGCCUGCCUCCAAGUCAGCCUCUCGGCCUAUCUGCCAGAAAGCCUCUAAGCCAGCCAACUUGGUGGCCACCACCAAGCCAGCCUCUUUGCCAGCCUCACAUCUAGUCCCUUGGCCAACCUCCCAGACAUCUUCUUAGCCAGCUAGCCAUCCUGCUUCUCCGCCUGCCUCCCAGCCAAACUUUUGGUCUGCUGGCAAUCCAGUCUCUCAGCCAGCCAUGCAGACUCUCAGCCUGCCUUCCUGCCAGCUUCUUGCCUGCUGGACAGACUCUAAACCAGCCAAUUUGCCAGCCAGCCACCAAGCCUAUCAACAUGCAGCAUAUAUCCUAUGGCCAAAUAUGUCUACUCUAGUUCUUACCAUUACAUCCCCUUCUCAGUUGGACGGAAAGAAGAAAGGACACAGUAUACACUUUUAUAGACCAGAACUAGAAGUUGUCCAUUACAUUUACCCAUAUUCUAUAGACUAGACCUUAAUCAAAUGGCUACAUCCAACUUCAAAAGAGGCAGAAAAAUGAAAUCCUUAUUCUGGGCAUUCAUGUACUCUGUUAAAUUCCAGGGUUCUGUUACUAAGAGAAUAAAAGGAGGAUAUCUAUUUGGGGAUUAUAUAUAUAUAUAUAUACACACACACACACAUAUACAUAUACAGAGUCCCAACUGGCAGUUUUUAUCAUAGAAUCAUCCACUUCUAGGCUAAACAUGAAUGUUCUAUCAAAUAUUUUGAUUUAGCUUUGAAGUAGUUAAUACUAGGCAAUCCUUACUGCUAGAAAUUGAAUAGCAAGGCUUUUUGCCUGGGAUGGCACGAAGCUUGGGUCAAUACAAAAUUAUUUGUUAACAAGAAUAGGAUAGUGUUGAUUUUUCUGUGAUCAUGAUGGAAAGUGCAUCCAACUUCUUCAAAAAUAAUAUAAAGUCAUCGGAAACUAGUUGCUGUUCCAUCUAGAGAUAACAAAUACCUCCUAUAUUGCUGUGGUGCUAUUAAGAUGUAGACUGUGGUUACUAGGGCCUGUGGGGGACCAGGAGGAGGGAGAGCAUCAGGAUAAAUAGCUAAUCCAUGGGGGACUUAAUACCUAGGUGAUGGGUUGAUAGGUACAGCAAACCACCAUGGCCCAUGUUUACCUAUGUAACAAACCUGCACAUCCUGCACAUGUAAACCAGAACUCAAAAUUAACUUAAAAAAAAAUGUUAUGUUGGAAAGAGAAAAAAUAAAAUGCAGAAAACAAGCAAAAAAAUUUUAACUGUGGAUUAUGUUAAAGCCUGAAAGAUCUACACUGAGCCCAUGCAGAUGAGUCUAUGAAUAAUAGAUGUCUGCAAGGGUCAAGGAGUAGUCAUGAUCACUAUUGACAAUCAAUGGAUUAAUAGAUUAAAUGAAUCAUAAAUAAGAAAAUAUAAAUAAUAUGCUAUUCACUAAUUAAAACAGUCACAUUGUAGGCAAUAAAGAACAGUUAUUCUAACUAAAAAUAUAAACGCACAUGUGAAAACCGUCAGUCUAUCUAUGAGAUUGUCUAUAAGAUUAACUUGGACUACAUGUGAGAGAAAAAUCAACAUAACAGCAACCCAUUCCAAAGUCCAUGAAGACAGAAUACAUCAAAAACAUUUUAUAGACAUUUCCAUUAAAAGUCAUUUUCUUUUGAAGAUACAUAUACAAAAACAACUACGGAACAACAAAAAAAUUAUUGCAAAUAUUGUAAUACUAAAAGCAAAUGGCUCAAUGUUGAAGACUAAUGUUUUCCCACAUUUUGCUUACUUUAACUAGUAAACACUAACUUACAGGGAAUUUACCACUUUAAGAAAAAUGAGUCAAUUAAAAAGAGCCCCUUUAUAUGGCUUCGACUUAUAUAGUGUUCUAAUUUCAUUUUCUGUAUUUUCAUCUCUCUUUCUUUUAUUUUUUUACCUUGUCAAAUAUUUUUCCAUGCAUUCACUUUGGGAGGAGCACUGUAAAUAACUACAGCUCUCUUGUUUAGUACUAGAGAGCUUUUAAAUCCCUUCGUAUGUAAUUUUCAUUUACUUCUUACAUUAGUAACUUUCAUUUACUUACUAAUGCUUAUUAAUACAAAGUACAAUGUCUUAGAAUGUCUGAAGGUCAAUGUUUCUGAAUUUUCUCCUGUUUUGUAAAAUCCAGAAGUCCUGAUUUGUAAUAUUUUUAACUGACGAGCAUUCUCCUGCAUUCUGCAGCCUUCAAGAAGCACCGAAUGUAAUUAACAAGUUCACUGGACCCAGCAAUACCAUUUCAAAAUGUAACUACUUCUCAAAUCACUAUUCACAUCCUGGUAGAAGUCAAGCAAUGAAGAUGGCACAGAAACACAUCCCAAAUACUAUGAUACCAUAAAGUAUACUGUAGCAAUGCAUUGGCACACCCUCAUUUGAACAUUUGUCUCAGAAGAUUUUGACAGAAGAUAAAACUGUCUGGUUUUUAUUUCAUUGGUUUCAUGAAAAUUUAUUUCACUGGUUUCAUGUCACAGGCCCAUGACUGUAUAAAGAGUCAUAAUCUUUACAAACACAACAAUGACUCACAGCGACAUGUUGCAAAGCUGUAAUCGAAAACACUGAUGUUGAUUUCAGAGGCCAUUAAU